AGUGAACGCUGGCGGUAGGCCUAACACAUGCAAGUCGAACGGCAGCACAGUAAGAGCUUGCUCUUACGGGUGGCGAGUGGCGGACGGGUGAGGAAUACAUCGUAAUCUACUUUUUCGUGGGGGAUCACGUAGGUAAACUUACGCUAAUACCGCAUACGACCUACGGGUGAAAGCAGUGGAUCUUCGGACCUUGCGCGAUUGAAUGAGCCGAUGUCGGAUUAGCUAGUUGGCGGGGUAAAGGCCCACCAAGGCGACGAUCCGUAGCUCGUCUGAGAGGAUGAUCAGCGACACUAGAGGUGAGACACGGACCAGAGUACUACGGGAGGCAGCAGUGGGGAAUAUUGGACAGUGGGCGGAAGCAUUGUACAGCGAGACCGCGUGGGUGACGAAGACGUUGGGGUUGUAAAGACCUUUUGUUGGGAAAGAACAGCAGCAGGUUGAUACGAAGCUGUUCUGACGGUACCCAAUGAAUAAGCACCGGCUAACUACGUG
RNAcentral lists this ribosomal RNA (492 nucleotides) under uncultured bacterium. RNAcentral's name for it is "partial 16S ribosomal RNA". It matches the Rfam family "Bacterial small subunit ribosomal RNA", at positions 29 to 507 of the family's 1533-position model. The record is from RNAcentral.